Molecule: non-coding RNA, 1325 nt
Organism: Paramuricea clavata
Lineage: Eukaryota; Metazoa; Cnidaria; Anthozoa; Malacalcyonacea; Plexauridae
Source: the annotation of a GenBank genome assembly
UGUUGACAUGCAUGACGCACGAAGUGGAGAGAGAUUAGAGGACAAUGGGUGCGAGUUGAGUUAGUACCAGAAAAUGAGUGAGUACAAGGAACGAGAUAUUCGAGAGAGAAUUGUGACUGUGGCUGUGACUGCAUGUGAGCGAGUGAGAGAAAGUGUAAUCGAUAGACAAACAGGGAAUAUAUACAUACAGUAUAUUGGGAACAUUACGUUAACUGGGACACAAGGGAGAACAUUCUACUAUUCUAUUAAUUGAUUUAUUUUUUACUGUUGGUUUAAAUAUAAUUAUCUAUACUUUUAAAACAUCUGUGAUUAUUGUGACUUGUCGGGAACUACGUUUAAGCGGAGGCGAAUUCUCGACAACAAUUUUUUUUUGCAUUUGUCAUUUAGUAUUAAAUUAAAUUAAAUAUAUACAUAUACCUCUAUACCUGCAGGCUUUAGUACGAGAUUUCUAUUUCAACUAGAGUGCAUACAAAAGUUGAGGUCUUUCUAGAACCGGUGUCAUUCGUCAGCAUGCAAUGUAUCUUCUAUUUUGGAUGCUUAUCGUCUAAAAUUCAGGUUGAUGGUUCUUUUAUGCUGGUUUUACGGUAUAUAAGUUUUGUACAUACUUGGAAAUUAUCUGCCGUAUUUCUGCAUGAGAAAACAGAGUUUCGCGCGGGGUCGAAGAGCGAUCGAUGAGGCUGUAUUUCAGGUUACGAGAUCUGAGCUGUUUUAUAUAUUUUUUCAUUCAGUCAUUUAUUUGUGUAUUUAUUUAUUUGUACGAAUGCGACACACAAGAAACAUAUAAUACGUUAUUAUUUGCAUAUAAUCUCUAAUAACAGAGACUAGAGUCCCAAAGAAUGGAAAUAGUUUCUUUAGCAGGCAACUUUGUAAAGUCUUUAUGGAGCAGAUGAGGGACUAGGCGAAAAUAAAAAAUAAAAAAAUAAAUAAAUAAAAAUUAAAAAAAAUAAUUUAUUUCUAGUAUUUUCUAUUGUAACUAUAAAUUUAUAUUAUUCCAGGGCCGCACAUAUCCCAAAAAAAGGUGGAAAAAUUUUUUCCAGACAAAUAGUAGUAAAAUUACAGUUCAAAAAAAAUUUUCCGGACAAAUACCUGUACAAUAACGGAUAAAACACAUUUUUUCGGACCAAUGCAAGUAAAAUAAAGGUCUAAAAGAUUUUUCUCAUACCAUUGAGUAGCCGUAAGGCGGGGUUCCAAUGUAUUGUAAAACAACAUGACAGUUUCACUUUCUUCAGAAAGCCGGAAACCUUGGUGACGUUUCUGGGAGGAAUUUCAGACCAAAAUCUGGGCAGACCUUUCAAUGUAAAUUGAACAGGCAUGCGACUGCGUAA